This 253-nucleotide ribosomal RNA is filed under the name uncultured bacterium. RNAcentral's name for it is "partial 16S ribosomal RNA". It matches the Rfam family "Bacterial small subunit ribosomal RNA", at positions 524 to 776 of the family's 1533-position model. The record is from RNAcentral.
UACGAAGGUGGCAAGCGUUACUCGGAAUUACUAGGCGUAAAGGGCAGGUAGGUGGUUUGGUUAGUCUGUUGUGAAAGCUCCCGGCUUAACUGGGGAGGGUCACGCGAUACUGAUCGACUCGAAGGCAGGAGAGGGUAGUGGAAUUCCCGGUGUAGCGGUGAAAUGCGUAGAUAUCUGGAGGAACACCGGUGGCGAAGGCGGCAUCCUGGACCAACACUGACGCUGAGGAGCGAAAGCCAGGGGAGCAAACGGG